Molecule: ribosomal RNA, 492 nt
Filed under: uncultured bacterium
Lineage: Bacteria
Description: partial 16S ribosomal RNA
Rfam family: Bacterial small subunit ribosomal RNA
Source: RNAcentral
AGUGAACGCUGGCGGUAGGCCUAACACAUGCAAGUCGAACGGCGGCACAGUAAGAGCUUGCUCUUACGGGUGGCGAGUGGCGGACGGGUGAGGAAUACAUCGGAAUCUACUUUUUCGUGGGGGAUGACGUAGGGAAACUUACGCUAAUACCGCAUACGACCUACGGGUGAAAGCAGGGGAUCUUCGGACCUUGCGCGAUUGAAUGAGCCGAUGUCGGAUUAGCUAGUUGGCGGGGUAAAGGCCCACCAAGGCGACGAUCCGUAGCUGGUCGGAGAGGAUGAUCAGCCACACUGGAACUGGGACAGCGUCCAGACUCCUACGGGAGGCAGCAGUGGGGAAUAUUGGGCAAUGGGCGCAAGCAUGAUCCAGCCAUACCGCGUGGGUGAAGAAGGCCUUCGGGUUGUAAAGACCUUUUGUUGGGAAAGAAAAGCAGCAGGUUAAUACCCCGCUGUUCUGACGGUACCCAAAGAAUAAGCACCGGCUAACUUCGUG